CUCGGCAACCAUUUAAAAUAAAUACCAUCCCGAUCCCAUCCGAUCUCGGAAGCGAAGCAGGGUUGGGCCUGGUUAGUACUUGGAUGGGAGACCACCUAGGAAGACCUGGUGCUGUAGGCG
RNAcentral lists this ribosomal RNA (120 nucleotides) under Pteropus alecto (black flying fox). Lineage: Eukaryota; Metazoa; Chordata; Mammalia; Chiroptera; Pteropodidae. The record is from RNAcentral.